GUCUAUGGUCAUACCACCCUGAACACACCCAACCUCAGAAGCUGAGCAGAGUUCAGAGCUGAUUAGUACUUGGAUGUGAGACUACUAGGGAAUGCUGGGUAUUACAGUUA
Molecule: ribosomal RNA, 110 nt
Organism: Panthera pardus (leopard)
Lineage: Eukaryota; Metazoa; Chordata; Mammalia; Carnivora; Felidae
Source: Ensembl